RNAcentral lists this long non-coding RNA (1534 nucleotides) under Chrysemys picta bellii (western painted turtle). Its description in RNAcentral is "lncRNA (ENSCPBG00000012382.1)". Lineage: Eukaryota; Metazoa; Chordata; Testudines; Emydidae. The record is from RNAcentral.
CGAAACGGGAGCGGGAGCAGUUUGUGCUGAUGCAGCGGCGGCGGACGCCAGCUGGGAGCUCAGCUGUGCAGCGCUGCCCCAGGGGCCCCGAAAGAACAAGUGAGUGGCCCCGGUGGCGCCGGCUUGCCGCGGCCCCCCGGAUAGCGGGAUGCGGGACAAGUCCCCUAGAAUCGGGACGUCUGGGCACCCUGCUUCCCCCAGACGCGCUCCGCGUUCGGCAGGAUCGGCCCCGGCUGUUCUCCCCUCCGGCCAAGAUGCUGUGGGUGCUGUGGUGUCCCGUGCUGCUGGGAUGGGUCACUGUGGGACCAGACACGGCCCCUCAGGCGAGCGACGGCCCCCAGUUCUGGGCCCGGGCCGGCCAGGACAUCACGCUGGUGUGCAGGGCCCGAGCGCCCCCAAAAGCCGACCUACGUCACCUGCGCAUUCACUGGCACCUCCUGCGGGAGCCGGCGGGGGGCUCCGUGGUGCACAGCUACCACACGGGGGCUGACCAGCUGGGAGACCAGGCCGAGGAGUUCAGGGGCCGGACGCGGCUCCUCCUACAGGGGAUCCGCCAGGGGGUGGUGGCCCUGAGCCUGACCGGUGUGCGGCCCUCGGACAGCGGCACGUACCGGUGCUUCAUCAUGGACAGCCAGGCUGACAGCAUCAUGGACAUCGUCCUCCACGUGGCAGCAGGGCUGCAGGCGCUGGAGCAGCGAUUCCCCGGGUGGGCGAUGGCUGUCGUGACGCUGGCGCUCGUGACCCUCGUGUGCGUGGUGCUGAUCCAUUGGGGGUUGCCGCGUAUCCCCGCCGAAGGGCUUCAUCUUGGAUGGCGAAGAGCGCCCGGCUCCCAGCACUGGCACCGUGUCCGGACGGACCCCCCCGAAGUGGACAUGGCUGAGCGCUAGGUCUGCAUGGCCCCCCCCCUCGUCCGCCCCUCAGCCGGCGGGGAGUGACGGGCUCAGACUGCAGCGGGGAAGAACGGAGGUUUCUGAGGGGAGAGAUGUGACGAAGUGGGGGAUUUUCUUGUUGUUUCCAAUGGUUUGCAUGCGGAGGGGGUGGGACUCAGUUUCCCUGGGUGUUACUGGUUUAACGAGGUGAGGGGAGAGGGAGUAUGUUCUGCAGAGGACCGGAGAGAGGACGUGGGGACCCAGCCGAUGGCCGGGAGGAUGGAGACCCCAGCGACCGGUGACCUGAGACCCCGACCCGGAGACCCAGCUGAGGAGACUCAGCCGGUUCUGGCCAGUGGGAGGACAAUGGGCUGCAGAGUGAGGAGCCAGUGACCGAACCAGCCGGUUCCAGCCAGAGGACAGAAACGAGGAGAGGAGGCCCCGGUUUACGACCCUGUUUACCUGGAGAGAAGACAAUGGACAGAGGCGGGGCCUGGGGCCGGGGAUCUCAGAUGCCCAGCUGGGAAGCAGGGGGGCUCUGGGCUGGAGAGGGGGAGCAGGCAGCGCCCACCUGGAUGCAGAGAGACUGGGAUGUGCUGGGCUGAGGGAGGCCAGGCCUGAGGCCCUGAGAGUUUCCUGUGCUGGGUUCAACUCUCAAUAAACCU